UGGGGAAUUUUGCACAAUGGGGGAAACCCUGAUGCAGCGACGCCGCGUGAUUUAGAAGGCCUUCGGGUUGUAAAAAUCUUUUCUAUGGGAAGAAAAUGACAGUACCAUAGGAAUAAGGACCGGCUAAUUACGUGCCAGCAGCCGCGGUAAUACGUAAGGUCCGAGCGUUGUCCGGAAUCAUUGGGCGUAAAGGGUACGCAGGCGGGUAAGCAAGUUAGAAGUGAAAUCCUAUAGCUCAACUAUAGUAAGCUUUUAAAACUGCUCAUCUUGAGGUAUGGAAAGGAAAGUGGAAUUCCUAGUGUAGCGGUGAAAUGCGCAGAUAUUAGGAGGAAUACCGGUGGCGAAGGCGACUUUCUGGCCAUAACCUGACGCUGAGGUACGAAAGCGUGGGUAGCAAACAGG
Molecule: ribosomal RNA, 402 nt
Filed under: bacterium
Lineage: Bacteria
Description: partial 16S ribosomal RNA
Rfam family: Bacterial small subunit ribosomal RNA
Source: RNAcentral